AUUUUUGAAAGGCAUGCUUGGCAAUUGCUUUUCAGAAGUUGAAGGCUUUGAAGGACAUGAACAUAAUUGUUUGGAGUAAACUAUAAUUGGACCAGAUAGAUUAUUUUUGAGUGGUGAAAAUUGUAAUGUAGAACUUGUUUCACUUUUGUUCUCAAAUGGUUAAAUGUGUGCUUCCCACUUUUGGUUUCAAACAAUGUGGUCGGCGG
This 206-nucleotide unclassified non-coding RNA is filed under the name Hevea brasiliensis (rubber tree). The record is from RNAcentral. Lineage: Eukaryota; Viridiplantae; Streptophyta; Magnoliopsida; Malpighiales; Euphorbiaceae.